RNAcentral lists this ribosomal RNA (378 nucleotides) under Escherichia coli. RNAcentral's name for it is "partial 23S ribosomal RNA". It matches the Rfam family "Bacterial large subunit ribosomal RNA", at positions 2251 to 2628 of the family's 2925-position model. Lineage: Bacteria; Pseudomonadati; Pseudomonadota; Gammaproteobacteria; Enterobacterales; Enterobacteriaceae. The record is from RNAcentral.
ACAGUGUCUGGUGGGUAGUUUGACUGGGGCGGUCUCCUCCUAAAGAGUAACGGAGGAGCACGAAGGUUGGCUAAUCCUGGUCGGACAUCAGGAGGUUAGUGCAAUGGCAUAAGCCAGCUUGACUGCGAGCGUGACGGCGCGAGCAGGUGCGAAAGCAGGUCAUAGUGAUCCGGUGGUUCUGAAUGGAAGGGCCAUCGCUCAACGGAUAAAAGGUACUCCGGGGAUAACAGGCUGAUACCGCCCAAGAGUUCAUAUCGACGGCGGUGUUUGGCACCUCGAUGUCGGCUCAUCACAUCCUGGGGCUGAAGUAGGUCCCAAGGGUAUGGCUGUUCGCCAUUUAAAGUGGUACGCGAGCUGGGUUUAGAACGUCGUGAGACA